Molecule: ribosomal RNA, 684 nt
Filed under: uncultured bacterium
Lineage: Bacteria
Description: bacterial SSU rRNA
Rfam family: Bacterial small subunit ribosomal RNA
Source: RNAcentral
UGCAGUCGAACGCGAAAGUCCCCUUCGGGGGGCAAGUAGAGUGGCGCACGGGUGAGUAACACGUAGGUAAUCUACCUUCGGAUGGGGAAUAACAACCGGAAACGGUUGCUAAUACCGCAUAAUGCAGCGGCACCUAAUGGUGACAGUUGUUAAAGCGGGGGAUCGCAAGACCUCGCGUCUGAAGAGGAGCCUGCGGCGGAUUAGCUAGUUGGUAAGGUAAUGGCUUACCAAGGCGAUGAUCCGUAGCCGGCCUGAGAGGGCGGUCGGCCACACUGACACUGACAUACGGGUCAGACUCCUACGGGAGGCAGCAGUCGGGAAUUUUGGGCAAUGGGCGAAAGCCUGACCCAGCAACGCCGCGUGAAGGAUGAAAUCCCUCGGGAUGUAAACUUCGCAAGAACGGGAAGAAUAAGUAAGAGCUAACAUCUCUUAUGAUGACGGUACUGUUUGUAAGCUCCGGCUAACUCCGUGCCAGCAGCCGCGGUAAUACGGGGGGAGCAAGCGUUGUUCGGAUUUACUGGGCGUAAAGGGCGCGUAGGCGGCCACCGCAAGUCACUUGUGAAAUCUCCGGGCUUAACCCGGAAAGGUCAACUGAUACUGCGGGGCUAGAGUGCAGAAGGGGCAACUGGAAUUCUCGGUGUAGCGGUGAAAUGCGUAGAUAUCGAGAGGAACACCUGCGGCGAA